Molecule: ribosomal RNA, 448 nt
Filed under: uncultured bacterium
Lineage: Bacteria
Description: bacterial SSU rRNA
Rfam family: Bacterial small subunit ribosomal RNA
Source: RNAcentral
UUCCAGACUCCUACGGGAGGCAGCAGUGGGGAAUAUUGCACAAUGGGGGAAACCCUGAUGCAGCGACGCCGCGUGAGUGAAGAAGUAUUUCGGUAUGUAAAGCUCUAUCAGCAGGGAAGAUAAUGACGGUACCUGACUAAGAAGCCCCGGCUAACUACGUGCCAGCAGCCGCGGUAAUACGUAGGGGGCAAGCGUUAUCCGGAUUUACUGGGUGUAAAGGGUGCGUAGGUGGCAUGGCAAGUCAGAAGUGAAAGCCCGGGGCUCAACCCCGCGGACUGCUUUUGAAACUGUCAGGCUGGAGUACAGGAGAGGUAAGCGGAAUUCCUAGUGUAGCGGUGAAAUGCGUAGAUAUUAGGAGGAACACCAGUGGCGAAGGCGGCUUACUGGACUGUAACUGACACUGAGGCACGAAAGCGUGGGGAGCAAACAGGAUUAGAUACCCUCGUAA